This is an RNA transcript of Phacochoerus africanus (Common warthog), 634 nucleotides long. It is a transcript of the gene named piercer of microtubule wall 2, with no coding region annotated. The transcript is spliced from 2 exons. The record is from RefSeq and is a predicted model, not a curated record. NCBI's taxonomy places the organism in Eukaryota, Metazoa, Chordata, Mammalia, Artiodactyla, Suidae.
CACGACGGGAACUCCAAGAAUUUAAAAUAAUCUUUUUAUUAUUCUGUGUAUUAGACUGUUUUGCUUUUAACUGUAUCUGUUUUGAAUACAUUUUAAGAAUAAGAGAUUUGAAGAGAGUGAAACCCAAGUAAGAAAGCUGCAGUGAGGACCUAAAUGUAAAGGGAAUGAGUAGUUUGUUUCUAAGUCUGUAAACAUUUGUGAGUUAUCCUGGAGAUCUAAAAGAUUUAGUAGGCACUAACUUUUACAGAUUGUGUGGUACAAAUUAUGCCAACAAAAAUUUUCAGCCAAUUUGUCCUCUGUUUUGUCAAGAUUCUGUUUUAUGUCUUAAAUUUUGAGUCAAAGUUGAUCAGAAUAUUAGAGCCAGUUGUAAAAGGUGAUUUGAAAGUCACAACUUCUGUGACUGGGGUUGCCCUGGGCCACCUGACUGGGUGUCCAUAAAGUAAAUUACUGUUGCUUUUUCCUUUUUUUCCGACAAGUCACAGGGUAGCACCUUUCACCUAAGCAGCCUUCCUUGUGCUGAGGAAACCUAGGAGGCAUUUCAAAAAAAGCUGACCUGUUGCAAUGCCACAGGAUUCAGGAUAAGAAAAGUACUUCAGCUUCAAAUUCAGACACAGAAAUGAAACCUGAACAACAG